UACGGAGGGUGCGAGCGUUGUCCGGAAUCACUGGGCGUAAAGGGCGCGUAGGCGGCGCGGGUAGUCAUCGGUGAAAGUUCAGGGCUCAACUCUGAAUCGGCCGGUGAUACUCCCGUGCUCGAGCACUGUAGAGGCAGGUGGAAUUCCCGGGUGUAGCGGUGGAAUGCGUAGAGAUCGGGAGAACACCGGUGGCGAAGGCGGCAUCCUGGACCGACACUGACGCUGAGGAGCGAAAGCCAGGGGAGCAAACGGG
This 253-nucleotide ribosomal RNA is filed under the name uncultured bacterium. Its description in RNAcentral is "partial 16S ribosomal RNA". It matches the Rfam family "Bacterial small subunit ribosomal RNA", at positions 524 to 776 of the family's 1533-position model. The record is from RNAcentral.